CCUUGGUGCGAUGUGGGCUCACCCUCACGGCUCUCAUAUCUGUACAACUAAUUCGGCCCUAGGUAGGUAGACCCUCAGCUCUGUGCUUAUCAGCUACCCAGAAAUUCUUCCUAGAGUACCGGGACUUAAAAGUUCAGGUGGAAACGCCCGCCGCAGACAAGCACCAAAUGCAUCUGAGUUGAGGUAGCUUUGCAAUUGAGACUUUCCCUGUGCUGGGUCAAUAGCAGCCAUAACCAACCAGCAAAACUCCGAAAACAUACUACUGCUGCAAUGAAAAUUCAAAAAUCUGCUCCUGCUGCAAAAAGCCUCACUACCAGCCGGUUCCAGCAGAAGAUAUCCAAAUAGCAAUCUAAUAAUGCUAGAACUUAGUUCAAAGCAACUCUUUCCCAACUCCGUCCAUGUCCAGCUGGAAGCAGCUAAGAGAUGAGUGUGACGUCCUUUUCCCCUAUAAAGGUUGCUUUGAGCUAAGUUAAAGCGUUAACCCAAAACUCAACCCAAACCCGUACCAAUUUUUUUAUUAAAAAUAAAAGGCAGGAAUGUCAGACCCCAGAAAAAAGAGUCUAACAUACAGAAGGCAUGUCUGA
This is a long non-coding RNA of Choloepus didactylus (southern two-toed sloth), 584 nucleotides long. RefSeq lists it as uncharacterized. The record is from RefSeq and is a predicted model, not a curated record. The transcript has 3 exons. Lineage: Eukaryota; Metazoa; Chordata; Mammalia; Pilosa; Megalonychidae.